AGCCAGAAUGUGGUCUGAGAGGCUGGAUAUACAAAGAGACAAUGGCAUGACCAUCUGUACAAAUGGAACUAUGGCCCACAACCUGCAGCAGCCAGCCCAGGAAGCCAACCCGUCACCUGCAGCAGCCAGGAUGGAUGCUGGCCUGCCCUCAUGUGGGCUCCACCACCCUCCUGCCUGCUGUGGGAAAUCAGGAGGGUGAAGGUGAAGCUGGACUUGGCCCAGAGGUGCCCACAGGGACGCCCAGAGCUGCACAAGCUCCCUCCAUCUUGCCUCUGGGACCAGCUCUGCAUUGCUCCAAAGCCCUCAUCAGUGUCUGCUUUCUGUUGCAAUAACUGAAUACCUGAGAUUGGACAAUUUAUAAAGAAAAAAAUUAUAUCUGAC
This 381-nucleotide long non-coding RNA is filed under the name Homo sapiens (human). Its description in RNAcentral is "long intergenic non-protein coding RNA 1304". The record is from RNAcentral. Lineage: Eukaryota; Metazoa; Chordata; Mammalia; Primates; Hominidae.